UUAAGUUAUUAAGGGCGCACGGUGGAUGCCUUGGCACUAGAAGCCGAUGAAGGACGUUACUAACGACGAUAUGCUUUGGGGAGCUGUAAGUAAGCUUUGAUCCAGAGAUUUCCGAAUGGGGAAACCCAGCAUGAGUUAUGUCAUGUUAUCGAUAUGUGAAUACAUAGCAUAUCAGAAGGCACACCCGGAGAACUGAAACAUCUUAGUACCCGGAGGAAGAGAAAGAAAAUUCGAUUCCCUUAGUAGCGGCGAGCGAAACGGGAAGAGCCCAAACCAACAAGCUUGCUUGUUGGGGUUGUAGGACACUCUAUACGGAGUUACAAAGGACGACAUUAGACGAAUCAUCUGGAAAGAUGAAUCAAAGAAGGUAAUAAUCCUGUAGUCGAAAAUGUUGUCUCUCUUGAGUGGAUCCUGAGUACGACGGAGCACGUGAAAUUCCGUCGGAAUCUGGGAGGACCAUCUCCUAAGGCUAAAUACUCUCUAGUGACCGAUAGUGAACCAGUACCGUGAGGGAAAGGUGAAAAGCACCCCGGAAGGGGAGUGAAAUAGAACCUGAAACCGUGUGCUUACAAGUAGUCAGAGCCCGUUAAUGGGUGAUGGCGUGCCUUUUGUAGAAUGAACCGGCGAGUUACGAUUUGAUGCAAGGUUAAGCAGUAAAUGUGGAGCCGUAGCGAAAGCGAGUCUGAAUAGGGCGUUUAGUAUUUGGUCGUAGACCCGAAACCAGGUGAUCUACCCUUGGUCAGGUUGAAGUUCAGGUAACACUGAAUGGAGGACCGAACCGACUUACGUUGAAAAGUGAGCGGAUGAACUGAGGGUAGCGGAGAAAUUCCAAUCGAACCUGGAGAUAGCUGGUUCUCUCCGAAAUAGCUUUAGGGCUAGCCUCAAGUGAUGAUUAUUGGAGGUAGAGCACUGUUUGGACGAGGGGCCCCUCUCGGGUUACCGAAUUCAGACAAACUCCGAAUGCCAAUUAAUUUAACUUGGGAGUCAGAACAUGGGUGAUAAGGUCCNUGUUCGAAAGGGAAACAGCCCAGACCACCAGCUAAGGUCCCAAAAUAUAUGUUAAGUGGAAAAGGAUGUGGCGUUGCCCAGACAACUAGGAUGUUGGCUUAGAAGCAGCCAUCAUUUAAAGAGUGCGUAAUAGCUCACUAGUCGAGUGACACUGCGCCGAAAAUGUACCGGGGCUAAACAUAUUACCGAAGCUGUGGAUUGUCCUUUGGACAAUGGUAGGAGAGCGUUCUAAGGGCGUUGAAGCAUGAUCGUAAGGACAUGUGGAGCGCUUAGAAGUGAGAAUGCCGGUGUGAGUAGCGAAAGACGGGUGAGAAUCCCGUCCACCGAUUGACUAAGGUUUCCAGAGGAAGGCUCGUCCGCUCUGGGUUAGUCGGGUCCUAAGCUGAGGCCGACAGGCGUAGGCGAUGGAUAACAGGUUGAUAUUCCUGUACCACCUAUAAUCGUUUUAAUCGAUGGGGGGACGCAGUAGGAUAGGCGAAGCGUGCGAUUGGAUUGCACGUCUAAGCAGUAAGGCUGAGUAUUAGGCAAGUCCGGUACUCGUUAAGGCUGAGCUGUGAUGGGGAGAAGACAUUGUGUCUUCGAGUCGUUGAUUUCACACUGCCGAGAAAAGCCUCUAGAUAGAAAAUAGGUGCCCGUACCGCAAACCGACACAGGUAGUCAAGAUGAGAAUUCUAAGGUGAGCGAGCGAACUCUCGUUAAGGAACUCGGCAAAAUGACCCCGUAACUUCGGGAGAAGGGGUGCUCUUUAGGGUUAACGCCCAGAAGAGCCGCAGUGAAUAGGCCCAAGCGACUGUUUAUCAAAAACACAGGUCUCUGCUAAACCGCAAGGUGAUGUAUAGGGGCUGACGCCUGCCCGGUGCUGGAAGGUUAAGAGGAGUGGUUAGCUUCUGCGAAGCUACGAAUCGAAGCCCCAGUAAACGGCGGCCGUAACUAUAACGGUCCUAAGGUAGCGAAAUUCCUUGUCGGGUAAGUUCCGACCCGCACGAAAGGCGUAACGAUUUGGGCACUGUCUCAACGAGAGACUCGGUGAAAUCAUAGUACCUGUGAAGAUGCAGGUUACCCGCGACAGGACGGAAAGACCCCGUGGAGCUUUACUGUAGCCUGAUAUUGAAAUUCGGCACAGCUUGUACAGGAUAGGUAGGAGCCUUUGAAACGUGAGCGCUAGCUUACGUGGAGGCGCUGGUGGGAUACUACCCUAGCUGUGUUGGCUUUCUAACCCGCACCACUUAUCGUGGUGGGAGACAGUGUCAGGCGGGCAGUUUGACUGGGGCGGUCGCCUCCUAAAAGGUAACGGAGGCGCUCAAAGGUUUCCUCAGAAUGGUUGGAAAUCAUUCAUAGAGUGUAAAGGCAUAAGGGAGCUUGACUGCGAGACCUACAAGUCGAGCAGGGUCGAAAGACGGACUUAGUGAUCCGG
This 2422-nucleotide ribosomal RNA is filed under the name Staphylococcus aureus. RNAcentral describes it as "23S ribosomal RNA". It matches the Rfam family "Bacterial large subunit ribosomal RNA", at positions 3 to 2423 of the family's 2925-position model. Lineage: Bacteria; Bacillati; Bacillota; Bacilli; Caryophanales; Staphylococcaceae. The record is from RNAcentral.